UGGCGGCGUGGAUAAGACAUGCAAGUCGAACGCAAUAUGCUCUGUAGCAAUACAGAGUAUGUUGAGUGGCGCAAGGGUGCGUAACACGUGGGCAAUUUGCCGUGAAGUUGGGAAUAACUUGCUGAAAGGCGAGCUAAUACCGAAUGUGGUUUGCUGGAGGCAUCUCUAGUCAACUAAAGUUGGGGACCGUAAGGCCUGACGCUUCACGAUAAGCCCGCGGCCUAUCAGCUAGUUGGUGAGGUAACGGCUCACCAAGGCUAAGACGGGUAGCUGGUCUGAGAGGACGACCAGCCACACUGGAACUGAGACACGGUCCAGACACCUACGGGUGGCAGCAGUCGAGAAUUUUUCUCAAUGGGCGAAAGCCUGAAGGAGCGACGCCGCGUGGGGGAUGAAUGGCUUCGGCCCGUAAACCCCUGUCAUUUGCGAACAAACCUUACCAUUUAAAAGAUGAUAAGCUGAUUGUAGCGAAAGAGGAAGGGACGGCUAACUCUGUGCCAGCAGCCGCGGUAAUACAGAGGUCCCAAGCGUUGUUCGGAUUCACUGGGCGUAAAGGGUGCGUAGGUGGUCGGGUAAGUUUGAUGUGAAAGCUCCGAGCUUAACUCGGAAAUUGCAUUGAAUACUAUUCGGCUAGAGGGUUGGAGGGGGGACUGGAAUUCUCGGUGUAGCAGUGAAAUGCGUAGAUAUCGAGAGGAACACCAGUGGCGAAGGCGAGUCCCUGGACAACUCCUGACACUGAGGCACGAAAGCUAGGGGAGCAAACAGGAUUAGAUACCCUGGUAGUCCUAGCCGUAAACGGUGCACAUUUGCUGUAAAAGGAAUCGACCCCUUUUGUGGCGAAGCAAACGCGAUAAAUGUGCCGCCUGGGAAGUACGGUCGCAAGAUUA
Molecule: ribosomal RNA, 887 nt
Filed under: uncultured bacterium
Lineage: Bacteria
Description: bacterial SSU rRNA
Rfam family: Bacterial small subunit ribosomal RNA
Source: RNAcentral